AGGUGCAACCAAAACAGCUGUUAGACACAGCAACCGGGAGAUUCUGGCAGGGUGUCUGGCUAGCAUUAGUGCUGAAUAAUACGGUUGUGUUUUUGCUCACUAAGAUGGCUGUGACUUUUGGACUCUCUUUGAGUGUUUCUUGGAUUUGUUGCCUGCUAAUUGGAGGGAUAACGUGUUUUACCAUUCAAGGUAACGCUCAUGGGCAUGCUGCCUACCCUGGACCUGAACCAACUGGAACAUCUGCCCCAGCAAGUGUGGUGUCUGGUCCAAAUUCCAAAGCUACUGGCCACAAUGCCCCGUCAGCAGGAGCUACUGGCCACAAUGCCCCGUCAGCAGGAGCUACUGGCCACAAUGCCCCGUCAGCAGGAGCUACUGGCCACAAUGCCCCGUCAG
Molecule: long non-coding RNA, 393 nt
Organism: Salvelinus fontinalis (brook trout)
Lineage: Eukaryota; Metazoa; Chordata; Actinopteri; Salmoniformes; Salmonidae
Exons: 3
Source: RefSeq, a predicted model, not a curated record